This 886-nucleotide long non-coding RNA is filed under the name Olea europaea subsp. europaea. Lineage: Eukaryota; Viridiplantae; Streptophyta; Magnoliopsida; Lamiales; Oleaceae. The record is from RNAcentral.
UGAUUGGUUACAAAUUAAAAAAAUUAUAGGACACAAUUUAUUAUCGAUCAUAAAUCUUUAAAUUAGUUAGUCAUAAAUUAUAUAGUUUUUAGGUCACAUACACCAACCAAACACCCGAUUCCCACCUUCGAUACUUGAUAGCAAAUCAAUCAAGUAGUUGGUCACAAACUCUCUACUUCCCAACUGUCGCAGCUGCACCACCACCACCAUGACUGCCACCAACAUCAACUACAACACCACCACCACAGAUCACGGAACACCAUCACUGCACAUUGUGAUCACACCCAACCAGCCCGAUUCACUUCCACAUAUUCACGUUGGCAAACACGAACACUGCCUACUAAAUUCCACCAUUCUUCCAGCCACCACUCGCAACCGCCCACUGAAACACCAUGUACCACCUCCACCUGCAACUCUAACCAACCACCGCAUAACCACAACCACUGCCUGCUAAAAUGCACCAUUUCUUCCAACACUACAAUACCCUCAAAAAACCAUCCAACCACAGAUCAGAAAACCACCUACCCAUAGGGAUGCCGAGCGGCGCUGGAGAGUAGUCACCGGAGAAGAGAUAUGACAUUAAAUAAAGAGAGAUCGUGCAAGUCGUGCGUAAAAAAAAGUGCACCACCGCAAGUCAGUAAACAGUGCGAAAAAUCCCUAAAACCACCGCACCACCACCACACCAACUAGAGAAACAGAUGCAAAAAGGGGGGCGAGAGAGGGAGACGACGAUGAGCGCGCGCAUCGCUGCUUAUGACUGUAAGGUGCUGGGGCACGGUGGUUAGUGCUUCGCUUGUCGUCGGCAGACACACGAGCGUUUUGAAGAGUCAUCGGAGGGGAGGGAGGAAUGGAGAUGAAAAAUGAAGUAGCAAUUGAAAGAUGUAUU